RNAcentral lists this long non-coding RNA (1297 nucleotides) under Astyanax mexicanus (Mexican tetra). RNAcentral describes it as "lncRNA (ENSAMXG00005021569.1)". The record is from RNAcentral. Lineage: Eukaryota; Metazoa; Chordata; Actinopteri; Characiformes; Acestrorhamphidae.
CUACUGCAGGUGAAAUACUACACAUUUCAUGACAGGUAUGUAUUGAACUUUAUGUGUGUAAUUCAUCAGUAAAUCAGAUUUAAUUCUUUUUUUUACAUUUGUAAGAGUUACAGUGCUCUUGUUUUAGGGACAUGGCCCCUGAGGGCCGCACUCUGGAAGAAUCCAAUAAAAACCUGGAUGAGAUUUCAGACUUGGCUUUGCAGCUCCAGAAGAAGACUGGGGUUAAAGUGCUUUGGAUCACCUGCAACCUGUUUGCUCAUCCCAGGUCAGUCCCAUAACAACUCAUUCUUGGUCAGUUUUACUUAAAGAGAGCUUUUUAAAAAACUGUGCAUUCUUCGGUUUAUCUGUGCAUUGUAUAUUGUAUGUGCAGGUAUAUGAACGGAGCCUCCACUAACCCAGACUGCCAUGUUUUGGCCUAUGCUGGAGCUCAGGUGAAAAAGGGUCUCGACAUAGCCAAGAAGCUGGGGGCCGAAAACUUUGUGUUCUGGGGGGGCCGGGAGGGCUUUCUCUCCAUCCUCAACACAGACGUAGCGGCUGAACUGAAGCACAUGGCCAACUUCUUUAAAAUGGCAGUGGCUUAUAAAGAAAAGAUUGGCUUGAAAUGCCAGUUCCUCAUUGAGCCAAAGCCGAAGGAACCAUGCAAGCACCAGUACGACUACGAUGCGAUGAGUGUCAUCGGCUUUUUGAAGCACUUUGGAUUGGACAAAGACUUCAAGCUUAAUAUUGAGCCCAACCACACAACCCUGGCUGGACAUUCCUAUGAGCACGACAUCAUCAUGGCCUCUGUGUUUGGUAUGCUGGGCUCUGUGGACUCAAACACUGGGUCUCCUGAUCUGGGCUGGGACACAGAUCAGUUCCCCAUGGACAUCCGCAACACAACCCUAGUGAUGAAGGCUGUAAUCGAGCAGGGAGGCUUACAGCCCGGAGGUUUAAAUUUCGAUGCCAAGGUUCGAAGAGAGUCGACUGACCUGGAGGAUUUGUUCAUCGCUCACAUUGCUGCCAUGGAUGCUUUCGCUCGGGGUCUCAAAAAUGCAGUCAAGAUUAUUGAGGACGGAGUCAUGCAAAAAAUGCUACAGGUAAUUGUGAUAAUCUGAUUCUUUCAUUUCAGUUCUGUAUUUCUCAGCUUGUCCAGAAAUGCAUUUGUACAGCUGUACAUGAUUUGUAUUUAUUUCAGUAGAGUAAACCUGUAUUUACACUUCAAACCUUUAGGGUUUCACCCAUUCUCUAAUGUGGAGUGUUUUAGGUUAGUUAAGCUUGGGGUUACAUUUGCUUCUUUGUUUAUAUUUAAAGUUUUUUG